Molecule: ribosomal RNA, 380 nt
Filed under: uncultured Aquificales bacterium
Lineage: Bacteria; Pseudomonadati; Aquificota; Aquificia; Aquificales
Description: partial 16S ribosomal RNA
Rfam family: Bacterial small subunit ribosomal RNA
Source: RNAcentral
AAGUCCCGCAACGAGCGCAACCCUUGUCCUGUGUUACCAGCGGGUAAUGCCGGGUACUCACAGGAGACUGCCGACGAUAAGCCGGAGGAAGGAAGGGAUGACGUCAGAUCAGUAUGCCCUUUAUGCCCUGGGCUACACAGGCGCUACAGUGGCAGGGACAAUGGNNNGCAACGCUGCAAGGCAAAGCUAAUCCCUUAAACCCUGUCGUGGUGCAGAUUGAGGGUUGCAACUNNNCCUCAUGAAGGCGGAAUCGGUAGUAAUGGCGAAUCAGCAACGUCGCCGUGAAUACGUUCCCGGGUCUUGUACNANCGCCCGUCGCGCCAUGGGAGUCGGGUUCAUCGGAAGUCCCCAAGCUAACCUGCAAAGGAGGCAGGGGUCGA